CAGCUGCUCUGGAGGAUUCAGACAGGAUUAGUAAAAUACUUCUGAUCCAACCAUGACCAGGUGGGCUAGAGUUACUACUCUAAAUAGUAAGAGACCCUUGUCAGCAACAUCAUGGGAGGACAUGAAGAAGGAGUCUGAGGAGAGAGCAAACCAAACCCUUCCAAACUAUAAGCAAUGUCAAAGCAGUGGGCUGUCCCUUAGAAACGAUGCCCCUCAAGCAAAACCUAAAAGGAACAAAAAAAAGUGUACUUGAACGAAGUGAAUGGAUUCAUGGAGCACCUGAAACGGAGCUCCGGAUGCUUCACGAUGGACGGCUGAUAGCAGCCGACAGCCGGGAAGUAAGGGAAGAAAUUGCAGCGGCCUUAAAGGACAGUUGACGGGAAGGAAGGCAACCAAGUGACAGGCGGCAAAGAAGAGUGCAAUGGUAUGUUCCAUUGUCAACAACCCGGCCAUGGAGCUGCUGACUGCCCAGCUGGGCUAGAUAGUCAGGACACGGUGCCCUCAUUUACUACCGCUGCAGGUCCACGGAGCUAACGUAGACCCCGUGCUUGGUGAAUUUCACUUGUUCAGAUCCUGCCCUGAUAAUACGAAAGGAGUCUAUGCUGAUGGUGGUGACUGUAAACUCUGUGGCUCCAUGGAACCUUUUAAGAAAGAUUGCCCUGAGAAUCAGAAUUCAGAUCGGAUCAUCACAGUCGGUCGCUGAAUUGAGUGCAGACCACGGAGAUGUUCUGGAUGGGCCCAAGCCGCAGAAACCUAAAACCAAAGUACCCAAAGUUGUUUUUGAUAAGAAUUGGUACAGUUGUUCAUUACCACCUCAAGGUUACUCUCCAAAGUAG
Arvicanthis niloticus (Nile rat) is the source of this 836-nucleotide non-coding RNA. The record is from RefSeq and is a predicted model, not a curated record. NCBI's taxonomy places the organism in Eukaryota, Metazoa, Chordata, Mammalia, Rodentia, Muridae.